RNAcentral lists this long non-coding RNA (1478 nucleotides) under Gallus gallus (chicken). RNAcentral's name for it is "long non-coding RNA NONGGAT001468". The record is from RNAcentral. Lineage: Eukaryota; Metazoa; Chordata; Aves; Galliformes; Phasianidae.
CGGUGACUCACCGCUCUGCUCGCCCAGGAACACCAGCUUGAAUUUCCGCAGCGGGUUGCCGAAGUCCCCGCCCGCCGACAUGAUGGCACCGCCGCCCCGCUCGGUCGCUCUGGUCGCUCGUCCGCUCCACGCGGUUAGGGAUCAGCGAUUUUUUCCUCUCUUUUUUUUUCUUUUUCUAUUUUUUUCCCUUUUUCCCUUCUCCCUCCCCUCAGGCUGCGGGUAGGGCCGUGGGACCGCUCCCCGGCCGGGCUCGGGGAGGUGUACGGCGACGGAUCGCACGGCUGCCGCUCCCCUCAGGGCCGGGCUCCGUCCCCCGCGCCGCGCCGCCUCACACCGCCGCCGGUCCCGCCCCGCCCCUGCGCACGCGCGGCACCGCCCCGCCCCUCGGCGCACGUCACGCUGCGCGCACGCCCCGCCCCUUCCCCUGCAGCGAGCCAAUCAGAGCGCGGGGGCGGGGCUUAGCGGCGGGUGGGGCGCUGACUUCGUAGCGUAACGAUGGCGGUGCGGCUUCGGUUACUGAGAUUUAAACACAAAAUGUGAUUUUCAGAAGCACUCACCGCUAAGCUUCCCAAAGCUUCAGCUGGCGUCAGCACCUGCUGUUCCCAUGAAUAUCUCAGCGUGGCUGCCUGGAACGACGACGUGCUCAAUCACAGAGCCCUUUAGGGGUCUCAGCUCCUGCUUGCGAGUUUUAUUCACGUUGGCGGUGAUGCAAAUCUGCUGUGAUUCAGUCAACAAGGUUCAAACAACGCUACGCGGGGUUGCCUGUAGGGAUUCACUGCAGCCUUCACCUCCAGGACCAACACAGCCUGAUUGCAGAUUCACAUUUGCACCUGGAAACAGAGGUUUUCCUCCAGUUCUCCUUCUGGGAGAUUGCUCCAGAGCCUCUCCUCCACCAGUCGGGGAAACGCCAUCCACCACCCAUUGGUUUGAGCCCCUUUUGUUCUUCUUGUGAAAGCACUGCUUGUGCAUCUUUUCUUCCUCUAUGGUUUUCUCCUCAUGUUUUUGUAGAGGGAAAUCACAGCCCUUGUUGGCUUGUUUUGCAGCAUCACACCCACUCUGAUCGCAUUCCUCUUGCUGUAACCCAUCACCCGGCAGCUCAGCCAUCACAGGUGGUCUCACUGUGGCUGCCCCAUUUCCAGCUCUCAUGCUGCCCCUCCCACAUCUCUACACUUUCCAAAGUCGAAGGCCACAUUUCACCACCAUGUUUCUUCUGCUAAGUGGACCACGUGCCAGCUCUUUGUCUCCUCUCUGGGAAGUAUCACAGACCAAAACUGGUGUUAUUCCAUCUCUAAGGGGCUUGUAAAUGGUUCACGUUGCUGAAAGAGGCACAGGCUCUCAGAAAGGAUUUGUGUGCAGGCAGGUCACCCUCACCACAAACGCCCUUUGUUUAGUGCCUCCUUGCACGUUCUCUCUGUUCCACCUCUGAACAGCAAAUGGAAGUGCUCAUUGAAGCUUCCUGCUCCAGUGAUUUGCUUUUU